Molecule: ribosomal RNA, 473 nt
Filed under: Neisseria mucosa
Lineage: Bacteria; Pseudomonadati; Pseudomonadota; Betaproteobacteria; Neisseriales; Neisseriaceae
Description: bacterial SSU rRNA
Rfam family: Bacterial small subunit ribosomal RNA
Source: RNAcentral
AUUGAACGCUGGCGGCAUGCUUUACACAUGCAAGUCGGACGGCAGCACAGAGAAGCUUGCUUCUUGGGUGGCGAGUGGCGAACGGGUGAGUAACAUAUCGGAACGUACCGAGCAGUGGGGGAUAACUGAUCGAAAGAUUAGCUAAUACCGCAUAUAUUCUGAGGAAGAAAGCAGGGGACCAUUUGGCCUUGCGCUGUUUGAGCGGCCGAUAUCUGAUUAGCUAGUUGGUGGGGUAAAGGCCUACCAAGGCGACGAUCAGUAGCGGGUCUGAGAGGAUGAUCCGCCACACUGGGACUGAGACACGGCCCAGACUCCUACGGGAGGCAGCAGUGGGGAAUUUUGGACAAUGGGCGCAAGCCUGAUCCAGCCAUGCCGCGUGUCUGAAGAAGGCCUUCGGGUUGUAAAGGACUUUUGUCAGGGAAGAAAAGGGUGGGGUUAAUACCCCUGUCUGAUGACGUACCUGAAGAAUAAGC